GAGUUGUCAGGGCAGUCUGUGGCAACUGGGGCAUUAGAGUUGCCUGGUCAGCUCAUGGCAACUGGGGCACUGGAGUUUUCGGGUCAGUCUGGGGCAGCUGGAGCACUGGAGCUUUUGGGGCAGCCCCUGGCAACGGGGGUGCUAGAGUUACCGGGGCAGCCUGGAGCGCCAGAGUUGCCUGGGCAGCCUGUGGCAACUGUGGCGCUGGAGAUCUCUGUUCAGUCUGUGGUGACAACAUCGGAGCUGUCGACGAUGACCGUGUCGCAGUCCCUGGAGGUGCCCUCGACGACAGCGCUGGAAUCCUAUAAU
This 309-nucleotide long non-coding RNA is filed under the name Rattus norvegicus (Norway rat). Its description in RNAcentral is "long non-coding RNA NONRATT006445". The record is from RNAcentral. Lineage: Eukaryota; Metazoa; Chordata; Mammalia; Rodentia; Muridae.